GGGCGCGGAUGCGAGACUGCGGCGCGAUGCUCCGGGGAGGCAGGCGACCCCAAGCGUCGGCGUCUGGUCCACUCCCGGGUGUCUGAGGGACGCUGUGUCAUUUGUAGCAGAACAGAAGCAGAGGACGGCCUGUGCAGACCCUGGCACGGCCCAGGCAGGCGGCCGGCUCUCCUGCGGCCGCCGUGCUCAGUGCCACCCGCCCACCAUGAUCCCGGCAUCGAGUGGACGCGGGCAAGCGCUUUCGGAAAGAAGACAUAACGGAACGAAGGCUGCAGACACAGACACGCCGCGAGGGUAGAGGCUGGAAGGGUCCCCAGGCCAGGUGCCCUCAGGGAACGUGGCUCCCUCCCUCCCCGCGGUCCCCAGCC
RNAcentral lists this long non-coding RNA (368 nucleotides) under Sus scrofa (pig). RNAcentral's name for it is "lncRNA (ENSSSCG00030010943.1, ENSSSCG00040056853.1)". Lineage: Eukaryota; Metazoa; Chordata; Mammalia; Artiodactyla; Suidae. The record is from RNAcentral.